RNAcentral lists this transfer RNA (73 nucleotides) under Gammaproteobacteria bacterium 13_2_20CM_66_19. RNAcentral's name for it is "tRNA-OTHER". Lineage: Bacteria; Pseudomonadati; Pseudomonadota; Gammaproteobacteria. The record is from RNAcentral.
GGCAACCUGGUCCGCACUGAUACGCGGACUGAAAAUCCGCGUGUCGGUGGUUCGAUUCCGCCCCUGGCCACCA